GAUGAUUAUUCUUGCUUUAACCACACCGAACUAAAGGCUAUUGGAAGGGUGCUUUCUUCCUUCCUCCAUUUGCGCCAGGCUCCUCUUUCUUGGUGUUUCCUCAUGAAACCUUGCUUUCUUGUUGAAGAAUGCAGUUCCUGUUUUCUUCCGCGAGAGUGCGAGGUAGAAGGAUUCGGUAAGAUUUGGUAGCGUAGCAAGGGGGGAAAGCUGGAGGCCUCGUCCGCUGGUUCUUGGCUUGUAGAAAAACCUGGCCUUUCUCUGAGAGCCUUUGCCCUGUAUUUGCAAUUGAUACCCCUCUUUGAAUAAGUAUUUCCCCCUUUUCAAGCCAAUAUGUUCCGCUGAUCAAUUAUUUAUAUGGGUGUUGGACGAUAAUCUGGAAUAAAAUUUGUCGCUAACAAAACAUAUUAUGAAAGUGAUUCGGAUUAUUAAAAUGAUUCUUAAUCUGAGAUAUAUAUAACCAUCUAGUUACAAAACAGUUAACUAUUCGCGGACAGGCCGGUCUGCCGGUGCACAACCUGCGAGCGUCAUUGCAUAUCUGGUACUUUGAACUAAAUUCCCAGAGUGCAGGAGCCCACUAAUCCCUUCCAAAUCCGAGCUUCGGUCCCUGCUGCUCCCCAGCUACCCGCAGGCCGCAGCAAUGGUGCCGCUUUGUUACGUAGUCCUUAUGUUUCAGACAUUCUGCACAAGACCACAACACAAAUUUACGAAAAUUUUAGUCUAUCUGAACGGCCAAAUUUUUGUGUCAAAUCAAUUUUGGAUAUGUACUUGGCUGUUUCAGAUAUCCAAAUCGUAUCUGUUUUCUCAGAUUAAGAUAAGCUUGUACAAUUUUAAUGCCGAUGAUAAUAUAUGUUUUGGUUGUUUUUAAAUAAUCGUCCUGUGCUUAUUUAUUCGAAAAUAUACUUUGCGCUGCAGCUUCGGAGCAUUGCACUGAAAAAUAAAAAAAAUGUCGUAUUAAUCAGACCGUAAAAAAUGGCACUUUAUUUUGAUUUAAGUGUGUAGCCACAUAUACUCCCUAACUUUCCCCCUUCCAUCUAUUAGUGUGUGAUGUGUAACUGCCAACCACCAGCAACGAUUCACUGUGUUUGCUCCAGCUUUUUUCUCGGGCUGUCAUGUCGCAUCAUAUACAUUUAAGAAUUAAGAUCGUUUAGCCAAAAGCUCGUUUGAUUGGACCCGGUCUUCCGCGCUGUCCUUUCUAUUAAUGCUGUACUAUCUUGGUGCAGCAGCUGAGCAACCACUGGCAACUGGAAUCCCCGUCCUGUUUUUAACCCCUUGUUCUGUCUUCAGCAACGUUCUCUAUAUCCGUUCUUUACAGUCUCUUCUAAAAGAUUUCAUCAUUUAACAUUCUCUAUAUCUGUUCUUUACAGUCUCUAAAUCAUGUCCUUUAUAUUUAAAUAUCUAUAUUAGAGAUAUUUUUUAUUUUUAUUUUUAUACAUACAUAUUUGUCAUAAUCUUAAAUGGAUAGAGAAUCGUUUAGAGAAACUCUAUAUACAUCAGCCGCUUAAGAUCUUGUUCGUUUACGUUGGAUUGUACCCAAAAUCGUUUAAGCUAAUCAAAAUUUAUAUAAAUUAGAGAAACAUAGUUCUGCUCUAUCAAUCGGACACAAACCAACAAGGCGUCUUUACUACGGCCAUGGUCUUCGUCGCUGUUACAUUGACUGCGAGGGGACGACGUAUAAAAGGACGCGUGACGAAGAAGAAAUAUCCGCGCCGCCGAGGUCCCCUCGAUGCGUAACCGAGAAACUCUUCCGGGCACUCAACCGAUAUGGUCAUUAAUUCAUAGCGACAUGUAACCAACUGUAAUAACUCUAAAGUGGCGAUUUCUUCAUGCUACAACAUAAUCUUAUGACGAAAUGGUCAAAGGCGAAGGACGCCGCCGGUAAGUGAAAGAGACGGGGAAGGGUCAACACGAACAGAUGGACGCUACUCAAUAUUAUUUGCUGUCUCUGGCUCUAUCGCGCCAUAAAUCGUGAAAGAAACGGCGUUAGACUGUCUUUAGUAGAAAUGGUAAAAUAAGGGGCGCAAAACUACGUAAUGAAGUUUAAAAUAAGAGAUGAAAUGAGAGAUAAGACAGGGGAUCCGCUGCUGAAGAUAACGUCAGUCAGCUGCUCAAGAUAGCGUCAGUCGCGAACGACAGUGACUCAUUAGCUAACAAAAUAAAGUAAUAUCAACAAAUAAAUGUAGUAAAAGAAACAUGGUAGUCUGUAUGAGAACACUGAUGACGUACUAAUUGCAAAAUGGUGUGGCAGUUUGGAUCUUGAAUGAAUGAAUGCCGAUUUUCUCUGUCCGUGACUUCGUCUCAUACUCACAUGUUCCAUUAACAUUCCAGACGUUGACUGUUACGGAAUAGGGACGCAAUCGAGGCGAGGGUCGUGAAGACAUUAUGUACAUAUUUUAGAGUAUGCACGCUUUGCAAAGAUAGCUCACUAACACAUCGAUCCUAAUCAUUAACGUAUCAAAAGAACUUGUGUAUACAUCAUAUAUGUAAGGAUCACGCUUCUCUAACAUUUUUUUACUUGAGUUAAAUCCUAAUUACAGGUUCAACUUCACCGAAUGGCUAGUAGGUGAUAAAGAAUUUUACACCAUAGUUUAGUUUCUAACCCUAUAUUAGCAUGGCAAUUUCUGAAGUAGAUUGCUCAAAUAAAAAUGCAAAAUCUUGAUGUUUUUCCCUAGAUUUCAAAAAACUCAGCACUCUUUACUAAUUCUCAUUAAAGCACCUGCACAAGGGUGUCCCCCUAGUCCAUGCAAUAACCAAGUACAGUCUCAAAUCGGAUCACACACAAGUUCUUCGGGUGAUCACCGUACAACCGAUUGUCAUCUAGUCAUCUAGGUGAUUUUGAUUGCCAAGAGUAACAAACAUAACACUUGAUCAUGCCAAAUCUAACUAGGAUGGUGGUUGCACACAAAUCACACUUUAUGCACUCAAUAUUUGAAUAUCUUACCUAACACUAGACAUUUAGAUAGAUAACAAUUCGUGAAUAUAAUUUGCUAAACAUAGGUUACAUCCUCCCGACGAGGCAAACCUACAGGUGUGCAGGUUGAUAGCACAUCUAUGGCGACUGUCCGACUGAGGUAAAGACGAUAACAAUUCUUCAUGAGACAAUUCAUGUAAAACAAGUUGUAAAGGAGGGUAUAAAAACCAAUGAUUUUGAUGCUUAUGACUGAGGUAAAGAUGAUAACAAUGAUUUUAACACCACAUAUGUUGCCUAGCUGAAGUUGGAGCUCACUACAGGAAUCCAGUUAAUUGCCUAGCUGAAGGGAAUUAGCCCUAGACCGACGGGAAUAACUAAUUCCCGUCGGUAUAUGGUUAAUUCUCGUCGGUUCUAAGCCGACGGGAAUUAAUCGUCAGGGUUAAGUCAAUCCCCGUCGGGAGCUGACAGGAAUAACUAAUUCUCGUCGACUAAAUAUAAGCCAACGGGAAUUACUAAUUCCUGUCGGCUACGCGUAAACCGACGGGAAUUAAUUAGGUUUGCUUAUUCCUUUCCAUAUUUCCAUCACUUAUUUUGUCAUAAGAUGCUGGAACAGUUUUAUAUGUGAUUUAGUUUUGCGUUUGUCGCCAAAUUUAACUAGCAAUUUAAUUUAUAAUUGGUGUAUUGGUAUGUGUAAUUUUCUCUUUUUAUUUUUCAUGUGCUUCCUGGGAUCAGUUUUUAUGCAUCAAUAUGAGUUGAGGCUGCUAUUUUUUACCUUAUAAAUCCACACGUUCAUGCCCUUUGAGCUAAAUAUUUUUUUUUCGGUUGAACUGUUCUUUUACCUUUUUCCUUACUUCCUUUUUGCUUUUGGAGAGCUGAUGAACUAGAAACAAGAUUUAUGGAAAUGGUUAACCAAGACAACAGGCGUCAAUUAAGUGCAGUUAUAGAGUACUUUCCUAUUAUCUACAGAUAAAAUAUUCAAUUAUGGUACAACGCCCGAUAGUGUGCUGCCAUGUUCUAGUCACUUGCAAAGUUUAGCUCAUUGACACAUAAAUCUCCAUCAUCAACAUAUUAAAGAACUCAUGUAUGCAGUAUAUGCCAAGUCAACCGUGCACUAUGAACUUUGAUAAAAUGACACCAACAGCAAGUAAGAUAGAUGCUAAAUUAGAAGUAGACACAAGGAUUUAUGUGAAAACCCCUUGCAAGAAAAAAAACCACAAGUGACAGACGAGCAAACAAUCUACUAUAAAAAUGAAGGAUGUGUCGGGGACCAUAAUUAGGGGUACCCUUAAGGCUCCUAAUUCUCAGCUGGUAACCCCCAUCAGCAUAAAGCUGCAAAGGCCUGAUGGGUGCGAUUAAGUCAGGGAUCAGUCCAUUCGAGCGACUCGAUCACGCCUCGCCCGAGCCUAGCCUCGGACAAGGGCAGCCGACCCCGGAGGAUUUCCGUCUCGCCCGAGGCCCCCCUCCAGCGGCGAACGUAUUUCCGGCUCGCCCGAGGCCCUGCCUUCGCUAAGAAGCAACCCUGACUAAAUCGCCGCACCGACCGACCAAAUCGCAGGAGCAUUUAAUGCAAAGGUGGCCUGACACCUUUAUCCUAACGCGCGCCCCCCGGCUGGCAGAGCCGAAGUGACCGCCGUCACUUCGCCGCUCCACUGACCGGCCUGACAGAAGGACAGCGCCGCCUGCGCCGCUCCGACUGCGGUGCCACUUGACAGAGUGAGACUGACAGGCAGUCAGGCCCUGCCGAAGGCACCAUAGGAAGCUCCGCUUCGCCCGACCCAGGGCUCGGACUCGGGCUAAGUCCCGGAAGACGGCGAACUCCGCUUCGCCCGACCCAGGGCUCGGACUCGGGCUAAGUCCCGGAAGACGGCGAACUCCGCUCCGUCCGACCCAGGGCUUGGACUCGGGCUCAGCCCCGGAAGACGGCGAACUCCGCUCCGCCCGACCCAAGGCUCGGACUUGGGCUCAACCCUAGAAGACGACGAACUCCGCCUCGCCCGACCCAGGGGCUCGGACUCGACCUCGGCCACGGAAGACAGACUCGACCUCGGCUUCGGAGGAGCUUCCACAUCGCCCAACCUAGGGCGCAGACCAGCCACGUCAACAGGAGGCGCCAUCAUCACCCCACCCCGAGCUGACUCGGGCCACAGGGAACAAGACCGGCGUCCCAUCUGGCUAGCUCCGCCAGAUAGACAAUGAUGGCGCCCCGCGUACUCUGUGACGAUGGCGGUUCUCAGCCCCCUUACGGAAGCAAGAGAAUGUCAGCAAGGACUCAACCGCUCCGACAGCUGUCCCUCCGCCAGGCUCCAUCGCUCCUCCGACGGCCACGACAUCACACCAGCUGGGUGCUAAAAUCUCUCCGGCUGCCACAACAGCAUGUACUUAGGGCGCUAGCUCUCCUCCGCUAGACACGUAACACUCUGCUACACCCCCCAUUGUACGCCUGGAUCCUCUCCUUACGCCUAUAAAAGGAAGGACCAGGGCCCUCUUAGAGAGGGUUGGCCGCGCGGGGACGAGGACGGGACAGGCGCUCGCUCGAAGCCGCUCGCUCCCUCCCCCGCGUGGACGCUUGUAACCCCCUACUGCAAGCGCACUCGACCUGGGCGCGGGACGAACACGAAGGCCGCGGGAUUCCCACCUCUCUCACGCCGGUCUCCGGACGCCUCGCUCUCCCCCCUUCGCGCUCGACCCAUCUGGGCUGGGGCACGCGACGACAUUCACUCGUCGGCCCAGGGACCCCCCGGUCUCGAAACGCCGACAGAUGAAAAAACAAGUUUAGGGAGGCUCUAAAUCCCCUUAAAUUUAAUUUUGUAGUGAUGGAUGUGAUAGAUCAAAGUCCCACCCUCACUUCUUCCAAAACUUAGCUCUUUCUCCCUCAAAACCAAAUAAACAUGCACCAUAAUAAAUUGUUGCUAUUUUGGGCACUUUAUAGAAAAACCCUUCGUUACAGAUGAGACUCGCAUGGUGUCAUUAAAUAUGCACCGUAACAAAUAUAUAGACAAUUUUUCUAUAAUGUAGUCUUUCAGAUGAGACUCGCUUGGUGUCGUUAAAGAUUUGCAAAAUCACAAGGGGUCCCAAGGACUGCCAAAAACAAUUGAAAUUUCGAAUGCCCGCACGGACACGCGUUGCCCUGAUCCAAUUCCAAGAUGCACGCGUGACGCUUAUAUAUAAUUGCCUCGGCCUGAUUCUUGUUUCUGAAACAACAAACAAAGACCAACAAUCCUUAGGUCAAGAAGUAGGAGCUGUAACUACAAGCCACCAUGCUGCUCAUCCUCGUUUUCCUGCUCUCCUUCUCCAGCUUGGACCUCCAAAUAAGUGGAGCAACGACUGACACUCUCACCUUGGGCCAGUCUCUCCCAUGGAACCAGACGCUGGUAUCCAAGGGCGGCAACUUCGAGCUCGGCCUCUUCUCGCCGGGCAACUCCAAGAAGCAUUACAUCGGCAUCUGGUUCAAGAAGGUCUCCAAGCAAACGGUCGUGUGGGUGGCGAACCGGGACAGCCCGAUCCUUGACCCGUCGGCCUCUCGCUUCACUCUGAGCAACCGCGGCGAGCUCCUCCUCCACGCGACGCCAUCGAACACCCUGCUGUGGUCGUCCAACGCGUCCUCCCCUUCGCCGCGCACCACCGUCGCCACGCUCCAGGAUGACGGCAACCUCGUGGUGCGGAGCAACGCGUCGUCGGCCCUCGUGGCGUGGCAGAGCUUCGACCACCCCACGGACACGUGGCUCCCCGGUGCCAGGCUCGGCUACGACAGGGCCCGCGGCGUGCACAGCUUCCUCACGUCGUGGACCGACGCGGACAACCCGGCGCCCGGCGCCUUCUCCAUGGAGAUCGACCCGCGCGGGCAGGCCAAGUUUGAUCUGCUCGCCGGCGGCACGCACCAGUACUGGACGACCGGCGUGUGGGACGGCGAGGUCUUCGAAAACGUGCCGGAGAUGCGGUCGGGCUACUUCGAAGGCGUCACGUACGCACCCAACGCCAGCGUGAACUUCUUCAGCUACAAGAACCGGGUACCGGGCAUCGGCAACUUCGUGCUGGAAACGAACGGGCAGAUGCAGCGGCGGCAGUGGAGCCCGGAGGCCGGGAAGUGGAUCCUCUUCUGCUCCGAGCCCCACGACGGGUGCGACGUCUACGGCUCGUGCGGGCCCUUCGGCGUGUGCAGCAACACCUCCAGCGCCAUGUGCGAGUGCCCCACGGCCUUCGCGCCGCGGUCGCGGGAGGAGUGGAAGCUGGGGAACACGGCCUCAGGGUGCGUGAGGCGGACCAAACUGGACUGUCCCAACGACGGCUUCCUGAAGCUGCCGUACGCCGUGCAGCUUCCGGGCGGUUCGGCAGAGGCGGCCGGAGCCCCGCGGAGCGACAAGAUGUGCGCUCUCUCCUGCUUGCGAGACUGCUCCUGCACUGCCUACGCUUACGAGGCAGCCAAGUGCUUGGUGUGGAACGGCGAGCUCGUCAGCCUUAGGACACUCCCUAACGAUCAAGGCGUCGCGGGGGCUGUUGUUCUUCACGUCCGUGUCGCGGCCUCGGAGGUGCCACCGUCUGCGGCGCAUCAUUCUUGGCGAAAAUCAAUGGUGAUCCUUAGCAGCUCGGUCUCCGCCGUGGUCCUACUCCUGGCGGGCCUCAUAAUCGUUGUCGCGGUGGCGGUGGUCGUGCGGAAGCGGCGGGGAAAGGGCAAGGUGACGGCGGUGCAGGGCUCGCUGCUGCUGUUCGACUACCAGGCCGUGAAAGCGGCGGCGCGGGAUUUCACGGAGAAGCUCGGCAGCGGCAGCUUCGGCUCGGUGUACAAGGGGACUCUCCCCGACACGACGCCCGUGGCCAUCAAGAAGCUCGACGGCCUGCGGCAGGGCGAGAAGCAGUUCCGCGCCGAGGUCGUCACCCUCGGCAUGAUCCAGCACAUCAACCUCGUCCGCCUCCGCGGCUUCUGCUCCGAGGGGAACAAGAGGGCGCUCGUAUACGAUUACAUGCCCAACGGCUCGCUGGACGCGCACCUGUUCAAGAACAGCUCGGGCUCCAAGGUCUUGAGCUGGAGCCAGAGGUUUGGCAUCGCAGUUGGCGUGGCCAGGGGGCUGUCUUACUUGCACGAGAAGUGCCGGGAGUGCAUCAUACACUGCGACAUCAAGCCAGAGAACAUCCUCCUUGAUGAGGAGAUGGGCGCCAAGGUUGCGGACUUCGGCAUGGCCAAGCUUGUCGGCCACGACUUCAGCCGCGUUCUGACCACCAUGCGGGGAACGAUGGGCUAUCUGGCGCCAGAGUGGCUCGCGGGCGCGCCGAUCACCGCCAAGGCCGACGUGUACAGCUUCGGCCUGCUCCUGUUCGAGCUCAUCUCGGGACGCCGGAACAACGGCUCCUCGGAGACAGGGUCCAACUCCGCUGUGUACUUCCCGGUGCACGCCGCCGUCAGGCUGCACGCGGGGGACGUGGUCGGGCUGCUAGACGACAAGAUCGCCGGGGAUGCCAACGUGGAGCUCGAGAGGGUCUGCAAGGUCGCGUGCUGGUGCAUCCAGGAUGAAGAAGGCGACCGGCCGACCAUGGGGCUCGUCGUGCAGCAGCUGGAAGGUGUCGCUGAUGUCGGCCUGCCGCCGAUCCCGUCACGGCUUCACAUGCUGGCGAUGAUGAAUAAAUGUGCCGUCGGUGGGGAAGCAGAGGUUGAACCCUGUUCAAAUAGCGGUAGCAAAAUAGACACAGAAGUUUGAAGGUACUACGCAGGUCCGAUAGGUAAUUGUAGUUUCAGCAUGCGAGUCCCAUUGUUCAUAUGCCUGUUUGCCGUAGCUGCUAAACUGUGAUUCUUCGCAAUCUGUCGCGUGAGUUCCUUUCCUGAUCAAACCAUCGCGCCUCCUGAGGUUUUGAACCAACUUUACGAAACCGCCCGUUGCCAAAACUGCAACCCCAUUCACUUACACUCACUUCUAGCUCUGUUCUGUACAACUUCAGGGUGGGAAAAUCAUCUAAUAACUACAAAGAAUACAGCAAACACAAACCUAGAACCCAACUAUCAAACUGUACAGAUUAACAGCUACAUGGACAAACCACAAAAGAAUGAAUGAAAUCACCGUAGAACUACAAUAACCGACAUCAUCAGGAUAUACACUUUACAUGUAAAGACGAAAUUGCUGCUGUCGAGGAGAGAGCCUUAAUUACAGAAAUGAACUUCAGAGACGCUUCUUCAGAGAACCACUUAAGUUUCCAUGUAUGUACUGUGCCGAUUUCCUCAGACUGCUUGUUUUGAGGAUUUUGGAUGCUAUUGUGAAACUCUCCUGGCCUACCAUUAUCCAAAAUCAAUGUCAAACAUUUGUUGUUGCGCUGAUCCAUGACCUGAAUGUACACAUUGCAGAACAAAAUCAACUUUCUGAAUGACCACUCAGAGUUUGUGGGGGCAAUAAACAAAACAAGAAGCACAAGCACCCUGUGUCCAUGCCAUGAAUAUGAUAAGGACUACCAUCAUAACUACAAUAUUUCAAGACUCAUUAAGGUAGCAAGUCACUACCCAUAUAUAGCAGCACCGUAACCACCCAGACAGUCCUCGGAAAACCUUCUCAUACAGAUUAAGAAACCCCCUAAACCCUCGCACCACCCAUACAUAGCGGUAUCGUAGGUCAUGUGAGCAUGUUAGGGGCCGGGACUUAGACAUAUGCUUUGGUGUGGGACAAACGAGGCUUCCACGGAGACCCCCCCUAAUUUUGAUAAUGAUUAGGCAGGUAAGAGCAGCAAUACAACAGCCUUGUAAUAGUUGAUAAUUUGAGUAUCAAUCUAAGGCAAAAAGUUAAUUUCCUUUCAGAACACAGUACAUAAUGACGGUAAAGUCAGAAACUUAUCAUUCCUAAGAAAAAAGUUAAUAGAUGGUUCGCAUAUUAGAUAUUAGACAACAUAUAUGAUUUCGUUUGACGGAGUUAAGAAAUGGUAUAUGAAAAUAACAAUGUUGCAAAUUAUCAUACAAUGAACCAGAGAAUUUAGAAUCGCAAAAAAAAUGCUACUUACCACUUCUCGGAUAUUGCUAAUAGAACAAGAUGCAUCAAGGGAAAAGUAUGGGGGAUUUGAAUCAUAAGGGAUACCACCAAACUGAUCUAGGUCCUCAAUGCACACCAAUAUGGAGCCUUCAAUGACAAAGAUGGAUCUAAUAAAAAGGGAGUCUUCUGCAGAAGAAAAAUGUCCAAUAAGGUUUCAGUAACUUGGAAGAGCAAUCAAGAAUAUUAAGUAGGAAAUGAUCAAUUGGAGUUAAGAGUGAAUAUUUAGGACAUGUGACAGCCAGGAGUUCACAUGAUUGUACCUGUAUACAAGUAUACAGUAGACAUCUACUUGAUUGACUAAAUCUACUAAGAUUUAACGAACAAUUAUAUACACAAGUAAUUUCCCUUGGAUAGGAGUACAGGGAAAGCAGCUAUUCCCGUGUCCGAACCAUGAACAGGCUUUAGAUCCCCCAAUAAUAUCAUUAUCGAUGCUUGUAUAUAUUUCUCUUUCUUUACCCUUUUUGCUGGUCGAUCAUAUUGGGUUUCAACUCUAGCAUACCCUAAGUUUCUUGGGACUAAAAAGAUAUAUUGUUGUUGCUAUAUAACAAACAAUCACUUAUUUGAGACCACUUAACAUUGGACCCAUAGUUAAUAUAAGGCUAAAGAAAUAAACUGAAGACCAGACCAAUGUUUGCAGCAAAAAAGUAAUUCCAAUUAUCUACUAUAUAAAACACCAAUUUCCAGGGUUUCCACCAUUGUCGUGCUCCCCACAUUUAAAUGGUAAAAAAACUAUAAUUAUGUACAAAUGGAGAUUCGAACAAUGGUUGUUUGCUUCAAACCCACAUGGCCACAUUCAACCCCACCACCCAACAGAACACAUGUCUUUAUGUUUUAUACUCUAUACUUAUAAAUGGAAACCGUAGCAACGUGUGUGCACUUUGGUAGUUUAGUUACAAUGCAGAGUUCAAAGAAUGAGAAGGUAGUUCUGAUGUGUCCCAUGAAUAAAAUAUAGGAACGUUUCAUCACCCAUAUUGCCAGACAAUGGUACCUUCAACGUCAUUCCUCCAGAACAUCAACAUAGAGUAGAGAAAUAUUCCCGUAUUUGCAGUUCUGCGUAUAAUACAUUUCUCGAACAAUUUGACUUGGAUGUUCUCCCAACUGCCAUUUAAAUUGCACAAUAAGCAUAAUAAAAGACAUGGAGUAUAAGUUUAAAAAACAAGAUAAGCAUUCUUCAUUUGGCUCAAAAAGAAUAUUAUUAUUUUGUGGUGAGUAUAGAAACUACCAAGACUAUACCUUUGAAAAUGUAUCUUGUGGUUUAAUUUGGGGAAGUUAGUUACGCUCAAGAGCCAAAGUACAUCUUGCGCUUCCUUGGAAGUCCUUGUGAUGAAUAGAUGAGUUGUAUCAUCUGACAUGUGUACUCUGUACAUUGAAAAAUAAAAGUAAGCCUCAGGUAAACUAAGCCACCACUGUGGAUACUGGUUAAUAUGCUAACACACCUCAGCGCCUGUAGUCCCAGCCCAAUUGAAACUUUUUCUAGACUUUGCAGACUAUAGCUGCCCAAAAUUCUUGGCAUGAUUUCUGUAAAUUAACCAUUAAUCAAUAGAUUCAAAAUUACGGCAAUAACAAAGGUCCAAAAUAGAGAUAUGGGUAAUAAAAGCUUCUAUCAAGCAAAUGAUUGUGUAAAUGGCCUGUCAUUGUUAUCAAACAAAAACAAGGAAACUAGAAACAUGAUUCAGAUGGUGAAAAUAAACAACAUGCAGGAAAUUAACUAGUUAUACCUUGUCCAUCAAAAACCAUAUCAAGUAGUAGCAGAUACAAUUUGUUUUGAGAACUUCGCAGCAAGGCUACCUCUCUACAGAAAGAAAAAAAGAAAAAUUGUCAACUAUAAAUGGUAUAAACUAUGAUGGUGAAUACAUACUAACUGCAUGUCCAGGAAAUUUCAGUUCCUUCAGACUUAAAAUGACAUUUAAGCAAUGUAGUUUACAAUUAAAUACAGGAAACAUCUAGUUAGUUAAAUGAAGAUGGGUUUUUGGUUUCAAUAGAGAUGCUAUUGGUAACUGCUUAAUGCAUUAGCGAAUGGAAGCAGCUGCAUGCCUGUUACCAUGCAAUAGAAUUGGUAAAGCACAUAUGUAACUGGUGCAUAUAUAUAAAGGGUAGCACCAACUACCCUAUACAGCAAGUCAAGAACAAGCACAUUUAUUCUUUAACUAAUAAGCAAAUUGAAAGUGCUGCAGAGGUAUAUUCCUUUGGAUUAAAAAUAGCUGACAGACAAAGAGGUGAUUACAUUCAUCUGACAUGUUGUACUCAAACCAUAAACCUUCUUUUCUCUUCAUUUUUUUCUUCAGAGUACUAAGUUCUUAACCUUUAAACUUACAGAAUGAUACUGCUCUACAUAGUUGUCAUAGUGGCAACGACUACUAUGCAAGCAACCAUUAGGUGCAAGCGUGCAACCAGAUAUCUUGGUCCUUUAGAUCUAAAAAAACUCGGCCGGAAAGGGGAAGACCACUCUCCCAGUAUUAUAUUAAGAAGAGACUGAAACAUGGUCCCGGCCGAGAAAAUCUCCAAACCCUGCCCCCCAUCACUAGCGGGCCGUCACCACCCACUCUGCAACGCCCAACCGGAGGGUGGCGCGCAGGACGUAACCCGAGAGUGGGCAGGGCACAGCGAGGGGAUUUUUUAAACAAGCCCGAAAUUCGCUCCCGAGAGGGAUCGAACUCGGGACCCAGAGGUGCUACUUGAAAGCCUUAACCAUUACGCUAGAGACCCUUUCGCUAUUUCGUUAGAUCUAGAUCCAACUGUAUUAUAUAUUUAGCACUUAAACCCUUCCACCACCACCUCGUGUAGCUUUAUAAAGAACCCCUAACAAAUCACGACUACAUAUACGGUUAGAUCUAGAUCUAACAUGCCAAGAGACUUGCUUGCACGGUUGCACCUAAUGGUUGCUUGCAUAAUAGUAGUUGCCCUACAUAGUACUCAGUAUUCACAGAAGUUCGACAAAACAUUAUUCACAAGUCUUGUAGCCCAACAAAGUACAUGUUUUCACUUAGCUCAAUCAUAUGGUGCGUUCCAAUUCAUAUGCUUAUAACAUUUUCAGAAAUGGAGAAUACAGAGAAAACGACUCGCCUUUGAACUAAACCACUUGAAUCCUGAAACAUGUGUGCGCAACAAGCUACUUGUUCACAUGUUUCAAACCCAUCCUUGUCCGCUAUUUCCAAGUUGAAGAAAUCCUCAAGAGUGUUGUGUUCGCCUGUGUUAAUUGUGCAAACAGAUGAAUUGUUCUUAUGAAGGAUAUUAGAAGAAUGACUUUUAGAGCCUUCCUUGUGAGUACUUUUGCUUGGGUUGCAUGUCAACUGGCCAUUUCCUUCAACUAAAACAUGCUCAGCCACCUGAUCGUCAUUCAUUUUUGGAUUUUCUAGUUUGGUACCAUUAUGAUUCUUGAAAGGAAAUACCCUCCACUUAAACUUCUCCUUGCCUUUUUGCCCAAUUAAAUGGCCUAAAUAAUGCCCUAGAUGGCCAUUUCUCUGGUUACUGUUAUGGAACUCCUCAAUAUCAAACUCUCUGUGAUCUGAACAACUCGGCUCACCUUCUUCUGGAUGGUCAGACAAAGUAUUCUCCCCUGAAAAAUGCUCUAAGUUAUUAUUCGCCUCAUGAUCAUCACCAUUUACAGAAGGAAAUAAAACCAUCUGGCCAUUAAGAGACAACUCCAUCUUUGUCUGAAUUUCUUCAUAAUCAUCUUCAGAAUUGCAUGAACCAAAAUCACUCGAAGAACCAUCGCUGCAGCUGCUACCACUACCAAGUGAACCAAUAGAAUGAAGAUGUCCUGAAAUCUGCAAAAAUUCUUCCUCCAUAAAAAGUCUUCGAUGUAGAAUGUCCUCCUUGUAUUGUGGAGGUGACUGUGGACUUGAAUAUGUAUGGGGUGGACUUGAUUCUAUUAACUUGCUCAUUGUAUUGGAUGGUGUCCCAUUUGCCAGCAUAUUUCUAGAGCCAUUUUCCAACUCAGAAAAGGGGUCAGUUUGUGAAGUGGCUACUAACUCUAGAGGAGGAGGUCGUUGAAAAGAAUUCAAGUGCAUUUUUAGAUGAUCUUGGUCAAAAUUAAGUUCAUUUGAGGAUUGUUUGAUGACUCCAUUUGAACCAGAAAAUGCAUUAUCUGUGAAAGAUGAAUCUGAUUCCAAAAGGUUUGAGCUACUACCACCUUCUGAAACUUGUACCAAAUCCGACAUGUUAUUUGAAGUCUCCUUGUGUGCUUUCUGCCUUUUCUUUUGUUUGAUAUACUUCCCAUUGCCAUUAGUUAAGCCAACAGAUAGGUUGUCGCCUUCUGUUUUCUCUGUAUUGUCAUCCAUCCACUCCUUAAAUUCACAAAGCCAAUUACUUGACUUUUCUUUCUUCAGCAUUUCGGCGGUGUUUAUCAACGAAGCAAUUAUUAGGUCAUGAUCAACAGCUGCAGUUUCAUCCUUCUUGGAACUGUCACUAUCACAGUGGGUGGACUGCUGCUCUACACCAUCACAGAGAUUUCUCUCUUCCUCCACUAUGCUCACAAGUCGGGAAAAUUUUCUCUACAGUAAAUGAAAGAGAACCGAUAUCAUUUGAUUGCUAAAGUAGUCGUGCAAGGCUAGUUUACUGUAUCAUUUUUGCAAAGGAUGUAAGGCAUAUCUUGCACUUCUAAAAAUAAAGAUCACAUCUACCGUCUGGGAUGAACCAGCUAGAGACCAAAUUCAUGAAAGUAUUACCUUCUUUGUUGCAUGUGAAAACUAAAAAAGAGUGCAAAUGGAACAAAACACAUGCAUGAUUGCUUCACCACAAUAUUGUCAAAUCAUCUAUGCUUAAGGAGAAUAGUAACAGAAAAAAGUUCCAACCAAGGAAUCUUGAUAUAUGGUGCUACAUGCAAUGACGAAUUUAGUGCAACUGGCAUAAUGGAACAACAGGUACAUACCAUCUUCAAAUUCAAUAUGUCUUCAUCUUCAUGAUCAUCAAUUGCAGGAAAAUAAAAUCCAUAACCAGCAGGUUGAUUUUGCCUGCAUGCAAACAAUACUUGCUUUUCCCAGUAUUCUUGUGUGUUCAUACCUUUAUCAUCUAGCUUCAACUGAACCAGAAAAGGCAGGAACAAACUAUUAUGACGGGGGAAAUUUAAGAAACAAAAAGAGUCCAAUAUUUGAAGUCAAAUACUUACAUUCUCUGGAUUACGAAAAAAACUGAACACAUGUGCUCGAUACCACCGGGCACAGCAGAUUGGGUUGCCUUCCAACCAGAGGUUUUGCAACAGAGGUAGAGUGCCGAGGAUUUCCAAUUCUGAGAAAAUUGAGAUGAUAUUGUAAGAGAGAUCAAGCCCCAUGAGUGACUUGAGAUUUUCAAUCCCGUUUACUGUAGUUAAAGCAUUAUUUCUCACAACAAGUUUUACGAUUCGACUGGAAACCUGCAAGAAAGCACAUGUAACUGUAGAUACCACUAAUGAGUGUAAUCGCAAUAAGCUAGUCUGCAGCGCAAUGUUCAGGAUUAUAAAAGAAAUGCUUACCUCACUCAAGGAUGAAAUCGAACGCAAAUGAUUAAAUCCGAGAUCCAGAUUUCGCAACUUUGUACAUUUCUGCAGAUUGUCCACCUUUGCAAACUUGUUGCGACUAAGGUCCAAGGUUUCAGUUGCAGGUAACAAUUGCAACGACUCGUCCAUGAGUACUACACCAUUAGAUGCACAUGAGACAUAUGAAAGUUUGCUCCAUACAGGGGAGUCCUUGAUAUCCAUGAUUCUACUCGCAAAGACAUGCCUAAGAGCAUCCUGCGGUAGCAUGAAAGUCAACUAAUGCGAGUUUGGCCAAAAUAUUCACAUGACAUGGAAGUGCUUAGAAAUGAAAGCUGGAUCCAAAUAACUACUUGAGGAAGAGAUGAUUAAUGCUAGUAUGCUACUACUCUUGCUAGACGAAUUGUUUGGUGCUUGCUGAACAUUUGACAAUAUACCACAAUCCAAUCAAGUUACAGACACCAAAGCUGCAACCAAAUACUAGAGUUUUCCACAUGCAUGCUCAAUUUUGUUGCAUAUUACAUCAGCCAACAAAGAACAUUACAACACAAUGUACAAUGGCUGAUAUCUGAGACUUGUCCAAGCCACAUGGAACAGGGAAUAACAGAAAAGCUAGAGGAAGAGAUGUCAUGUGCUGUUCAGGAAGCAUUGCUCCCUUGAUACUCCCUCCAUUAAAAAAAUUAUAAGACGUUUUAGUUUUCUUGAUACAGUGCUUUUAUUAUGUAUCUAAACAUAGUGUAUAUCUAGGUGCAAGUUAUGAAUCUAGAACCAAAACGUCUUUAUAAUUUGAAACUGAGAGAGAGUAGUUUUUAAGGAGACUGUAAAUCUCGAACUCUUGAACUCUAUGAAUAGUAAAUGUCAACCAAAAUUGUCUUCAUAACUUGUAAAAGAAAGUAGAAGAUGCAUGCAGCUAUACAGAUCACAAUGUGUUGUGUCCAUCAGGAGGCCACGUGGAUGAAGGUUUUUUAUGCCAAAGCUUAUUAAUUAGACCGUGAGAAUAAAUAUAUCAAGCGCAGCAGGGAUGGUUGCUGCAGUUGCAUAAAUGGUAUCUGCAGCACAAGCAUUGAUAUAAAUAAAGCCCUGCAGGUGCUCAGGACUUGAGAUGCUCUGCAAGACGCCAAAAUCUAUUUAACUCAGAGAAACCAAGUUCAUUUCGAGUUGAGUAAAGAGUGGUUGAUGAUGACUUAAAAUAUUAUUUAAAAAAAAUCCAUAAACAUGACCUCAAACUAUAAUAAACAUAAGUACUAGAAGGCAUCUUAGCACGAAUAUCAAAUUGACUGACGAAAUGCUGAGUAAACACUGAACAGAAUCCGAUCGCAUCCUUGGAAUAUAAAUCAAAAGUGUGACCAUAUUCGUCCAGCAAACAGGUUAAAAGUCUAAGUAUUGAAGCAAAUAGGAUAAAAGCCAUGGCGCGUUACUAGCUGUAGAUGAACCAGAACAGCAAACUGUAGUUACAAUUUGGCAGUUCAGAAUAGCUCAUGGUAGUUGAGGAUCAUAAUUCAUGAGUAAGGCCUGUGGUCACACAGCGAAUUGCCGCAAACACCGAAUUCCAAAGGAAAUUGUACGUCGGGUGGCAUAAACGCACCGUAGAAUUGAAACAGACGAGCUUCUCGAGGGUGUGUCGGAGCUCGAGAAGGCCCCUGGCGGCCGAGGUAGAGAGGUCGCAGCCCCGCAGCUCGAGCACGCGCAGGCGCGCGAAAGGCAGGAUCGAGAGCGGCGCGGGGUCGCGGCGGGGCCCCGGGGCGACGACCUUGAGCGAGGUGAGGAGGCGCAGGAUCCGCCGUAGCUGCUCGAGCGCUCGGUGGUCGCCAAGGUCCGCGACGUAGGCGCGGAGGUAGUCGACUGGGGCGCCGGCGCCCACGGCCUCGAGCUCCCGGAGCGCCUCGAGGCGGGAGGCGACGUAGUGGAGUCCGACGGGGUGGAGGCGGAGGGUGACGGUGCCGUCGAGCAGCGCGCCCGCGUUGCGCGCCACGAAGCGGACGAGCAGGUCGAGGUAGUGGUCGCCGGUGACCGGGGACGCCGGGGACCCCGCGCGGGGCGUGCCCAUCGGGAUCGAGGCUAGGGUUUGGGGGUGGGAGCGCGCCGGCGCAUCCGCGAGCGGCGGGGCGGACGCGAGAGGAGGUGGAGGGUGGAGACGGGACGGGGGAGGGAGGAGGAUGCAAGCGGACACGCCCCCGCGGUGGUACGUAUGAUUGGGGGACACGCGGGCUAGCUGUGGUGCGGUGCUGGAGAGGGAACGGAAGGCGACGCGAUGCAGAUGUACGAAGCAACCGCGGUUUGCGAUCCGCGGUUUCGUUCUCCAAAGACUUGGUUUGUUGGAGCUAAACGGACGGAAUCGCGCGGGACGGACGGGCGGCCGUCUGGAUCUGGCGUGGGUUUGGCCGUGUUUUGCAGUUUCCGGCGCUGGCAUUGAGCUGCGUGCGCGGUUACGGCUGUGCGCGCGUUGGCGUUUUGUUGGGCCUGUAGGCUGUAGCAAAAGAGCCGCGAGUUUGGAGUGUGGUGGCUGGCGGCUUGGAGCGUUUUUCUGGGUUGGAGCGCGGAUCGCCAAGGCCGUCGUCCGAUUCCUAGCUCUGGCAGUCUGGCCCAUCGUUGGCUUCACUAAUCACUACUAUAGGCAUGCCGGUGAAUUUUUUUUGGCAUUUUGGAAUUGGAUUGUUCUAGAGUACUUAGCUUCAUUUGAUCCACCUAGUUUGUUGGGUGAAGUUGGGCUUGAGAUUAGGAUUUAAUCUUUUGCAAGAAAUUUAUAAAAGCCCAAUUCACCCCAUCUUGGACAUCACAAACCUUUCAAUUGGUAUUAGAGUCAUGUUCCUCCUAUAUUAGCUUAUCCGUUAGAGUAACGAUGUACAAUGGGAAUGAACCUCUUCCAUGUUUGAUGGUGACAAUUUUCCAUAUUGAAAAAUUUGUAUGGAAGCAUACUUAGAGGUCAUAGAUAUUAGAGUUUAUUGGGCCGCCACCCAAGGGUCUCCCUAACCUAGAGAUCUCGCAAAUCUCUUACGUGUGAGAUUAACUAUGAGAAAUGUAAUGCAAAGGCUAAGAACACUCUUUUUAGAGGCCUUUGAAAGGAAGUUUUCAAUAGCGUUAGAAAUCACAAAGAAUGCUCUUACUCUAUGGUCGGACAUUUGUGCCUUACAUGAAGGGGCUAAGUGCAAGUGUGAGGAACAUUACCACAUUGUGAUGAAAAAGUUAAAUUCUUUUGUAAUGCUUCGAAAUGAAAAUGUCAAUGACAUGUACUCACGCUUAACUAUUUUUGUAGAAGAAGUGAAUGACUUGGGGCUCACACAACUCACACAACUGGAUGUUGUGAGGAAAAUUCUUAGUGGGUUGCCCAUCGAAAAGUACAACCGCAUUGUCACUGUGCUUCAUCAAAUGGAUAUUUCCAUCACCACGCCAACUCAAAUAUUGGAAAGAUCAAUGUUCAUGAGAUGUACAUGCACAUCAAUGGACAAGAUGGCUCUUCUUCUAAGAAGAAGGAUUUAGCGCUCAAGGCAAAUCAAGAGAAGAAUUGCAAGGACAAAAUUCUGAUAAAUGAAUAAAUAUCAAGUGAUGAUGAUUUCAACGAUGCCAAGAUUGCUUUGUUGGUAAAUAAAACUACAAAAAUGUUGAAAAAGCUAAAUCGAGAAGGCAUCAAGUUUGAGUCAAGAAAGAAGAAAUUCUUCACUAGUAGCAAGAGGAAGCCAAUCUCGAAAAUGGAUUAAUAUAACUAUGAAGAACUUGGCCAUCUUGCUCAUCGAUUUACCAAGCCCAAGAAAACAAGUUCAAGGGCAAGAAAAAUGCUGAUAGUGAAGAUGAAAAUAAAGAAAAGAAAUUCUUCAAUAGAAAAUAUGGCAAACAAAAAGAAAUUCCACAAGAGAAAAGGUGGAAAAGCAUACAUCGUUGGUGAUUGGCUCGCCAACAUUGAAUCCACAAGCGGCUAUUCCUCAAGCGAAAAAGAUGGUGAAAAGGUCGUCGACAUCGCCCUGGAUUUCUCUUCACCACCACCAUCGCUGUCACCACUACACACCUAUGCCUUAAGGCUAAAGGUGAUCGGAAGGUAGAAAAUUAUAUUUCUAGUGAUUGUGGUAGUGAUAGUGAUAAUAAGUAUGUUUCUCCUACUUAUGAUGAGCUAGCUGAUUUUCUUAAGGAAUAUACUCAAGUUAUUAGAAAAGAUAAGGCAAAUGUGGCAAGCUAAAAAUGAGAAUAUGAUUGCUAAAUAUGUCAUAGUAGUGAAAGAUAGUGAUGAAAUGAAAGAGGAGAACUGAAAGUCGCCUAGAGGGGGGUGGAUAGGCGGAAUCUGAAAUUUACAAACUUAAGCACACACUACAAGCCGGGGUUAGCGUUAGAAUAAAUGUUAAGUCCGGGAGAGAGGGGAAAACAAAUCAACCAAGAAAUAAUGCGGAUGAACACGAUGAUUUAUUUUACCGAGGUUCGGUUCUAAAGAACCUAGUCCCCGUUGAGGUGGUCACAAAGACCGGGUCUCUUUCAACCCUUUUCCUCUCUCAAACGGUCACAUAGACCAAGUGAGCUUUCUUCCUUGAUUUCCCGGGUCACUUAGACCCCGCAAGGACCACCACACAAUUGGUGUCUCUUGCUUCGCUUACAAGGCUUUAAGAGUAAGAAUGAGAGAAAGAAGAAAGCCAACCAAGCAACAAGAGCAACAAAGAAACACAAGACGGUCUUCUCACAAGUCCUAAAAUACUAGAGUUGAAUUGUGGACUUUGAUUGGAUCGGAGGCUUUGAUUUGUGUCUUAGAGUGUUGCACUUUGCUCUUGUAUUGAAUGGAGAGUGUUGAAUGCUUGGAUGGUUAGAGUGGAGGUGGUUGUGGGGUAUUUAUAGGCCCCAACCACCAAUUCAACCGUUGGGGCAGGCUGCUGUCGAUGGGCGCACCGGACAGUCCGGUACACCAGCCACGUCACCCAAUCGUUAGGGUUCUGACGAUUUCGACCGUUGGAGCUUUGUCUUCAUGUGGCAUCGCACAGUCCGGUGUCGCACCGGACAGGCACUGUUCACUGUCCGGUGUGACUUCUGGCGGCUGCUCUAAUCUCUGCGCGAACUGUCUGCGCACUGUAGCUUGCAGGCGACCGUUGCAGGCGACCGUUGCGCUGGCUACCCGUUGCUCCGCUGGUGCACCGGACAGUCCAGUGGCACACCGGACAGUCCGGUGAAUUAUAGCGGAUCAGCGCUUCUGAAACCCGAAGGUGGCAAGUUCGGAGUGGUACGGCCCUGGUGCACCGGACACUGUCCAGUGGCACACCGGACACUGUCCGGUGCGCCAGACCAGGGUUCUCUUCGGUUUCUUUUUCUCCUUUCUUUUGAACCCUAACUUGAUCUUUUUAUUGGUUUGUGUUGAACCUUUAUGCACCUGUAGAAUAUAUAAUCUAGAGCAAACUAGUUAGUCCAAUUAUUUGUGUUGUACAUUUCAACCACCAAAAUCAUUUAUAGGAAAAAGGUUAAUCCUUAUUUCCCUUUCAAUCUCCCCCUUUUUGGUGAUUGAUGCCAACACAAACCAAAACAAAUAUAUAAGUGCGGAAUUGAACUAGUUUGCAUAAGGUAAGUGCAAAGGUUGCUUGGAGUUAAACCAAUUUAUACUUCUAUUAGAUAUGCAUGGUUGGUUUUCUUUUAUUUAACAUUUUGGACCACACUUGCACCACAUGUUUUGUUUUUGCAAAUACUUUUGGAAAAUCAUUUCAAAGUCUUUUUGCAAAUAGUCAAAGGUAUAUGAGUAAGAUUUCGAGAAGCAUUUUCAAGUUUUGAAAUUUUUCCCCUAGUUUCAAAUGCUUUUCCUUUGACUUAACAAAACUUCCCCUAAAUGAAAUUCUCCUCUUAGCUUUCAAGAUGUUUUUACCAAUUUGAGAAACUCUUGAAAUUAAACAUACCAAAAUAUAUCAAUUCGAAAGGUGGUGGUGCGGUCCUUUUGCUUUGGGCUAAUACUCUCUCCCCCUUUGGCAUUAAUCGCAAAAAACGGAGACUUUUGUGAGCCCUUUUUACUUUCUCUUCUAUUGGUAAAUGAAAUGUGAGUGAAGAUUAUACCAAUCGAAGAGUGGUGUGGAGUGAUGGCGAAGUGUAAAUGAUACCGAUAGAGUAGAGUGGAAGCCUUGUCUUCACCGGAGACCCAUUUCCCUUUCAAUCUACGACUUAGGGGGUGUUUGUUUGGGAUUAUAAUCCACCUAGAUUAUAUAAUCCAACAAUUUUUGAACUAACUCUUAGUUCAAAAGUUGUUAGAUUAUAUAAUCUGGAUAGAUUAUAAUCUCAAACAAACACCCCCUUAGCAUAGAAAAACACUUGAAAACACAUUAGUUGUAGACAUAAAAGAGAUAUGAUCAAAGGUAUAUAAAUGAGCUAUGUGUGCAGUGUUUCAAUCAAAAUUCCGAAAAUCAAGUAUAUUUAGCUCAUUCCUAAGUUUGUUAAAGGUUUUCUCAUCUAAUGGCUUGGUAAAUAUAUUGGCUAAUUGUUCUUUGGUGCUAACAUAAGCAAUCUCGAUAUCCCCCUUUGUUGGUGAUCCCUCAGAAAGUGAUACUGAAUAUCUAUGUGCUUAGUGCGGCUGUAUUUAUAGGUGUACAUUUGGGCCGGGCCUGGUGGGCCGGCCCGAAGCACGGAAAAAAAGCACGGCCCAGGCACGGCACAACCCGAAAUAAUUUAGUGCCGGGCCGGCACGACCCGUUAUAUCGGGCCAGGUUUGGGCCGAGGUCACGGCCCAUGGGCGGGCACGAGCACGGCCCGUUUAAGGCAGGCACGAAAUGGCCCAUAUAGAGGCACGAAAAGGCCCAUAUAUUUAUUAAAACUACACUUCAUUCCACACUUUUAUAUACUUGAUAAAUAACACAAAGCUAGAGAUAAUGCUAGUUAGAUGUUUUUUGUAGCUUUGAAUUAGAGUGUGUGAUGUAAUUUUGCUUUUGUUAUGAACAUUAGACAAUAAACUGAACUUACGAACUUUGUAUAGAGCUGAUUAUACUCUUUUUCCUUCUAACAAAAUGAUUUAUAAACGAGGUAGUCAUUGCAUAGCUGUGGUAACUUUAAUACAAAUACUAAGUUUGAUUUUGUUCAAAUUUAUUUGUCUUAUUUUUUAUUUGUUUUAUUAUUUUUUUGAAUUUAGGGCUCUAAUGUGAAUUUUGGGCCUAAAAUUGAAUUUCGGGCCGUAAUGUGAAUUUCAGGCUUUUAUAAUUUCGGGCCGCCCGAAAUGAGCCCGGCACGUUUAAGCAAUUACGGGCCGGGCCGUGGGCCGAGGGCUAGGCCCAUGGGCCGGCCCGGCACGACCCGAAAUUCAAACGGGCCGGGCCAGCCCGAAAUUCAAACAUUACGGGCCUUUUCGGGCUUGGGCCGGGCCGGGCCGGGCGGCCCGAAUGUACACCUAUAGCUGUAUUCAACGGGAUUAUCCGCCAUGCGGAUUGCGCUCUCAUUGUCACAUAGGAGAGGGACUUUGCUCAAUUUGUAGCCAUAAUCCCUGAGGGUUUGCCUCAUCCAUAGUAAUUGCGCAUAACAAUGACAUGCGGUAAUAUACUCGGCUUCGACGGUAGAAAGAGCUACUGAGUUUUGUUUCUUUGAAGCCCAAGACACCAGGGAUCUUCCCAGAAAUUAACAAGUCCCUAAUAUGCUCUUUCUAUCAAUUUUACACCCUGCCCAAUCGGCAUCUGAAUAUCCUAUUAAAUCAAAGGUGGAUCUCUUGGGGUACCAAAGUUCAAACUUAGGAGUAUAAAUUAAAUAUCUCAUGAUUCUUUUCAUGGCCCUAAGGUGAACUUCCUUAUGAUCGGCUUGGAACCUUGCACACAUGCAUACGGAAAGCAUAAUGUCUGGUCGAUAUGCACAUAAAUAGAGUAAAGACCCUAUCAUCGACCGGUAUACCUUUUGAUCUACGAAUUUACCUCCCGUGUCGAGGUCGAGAUGCCCAUUGGUUCCCAUGGGUAUCUUGAUGGGCUUGGCAUCCUUCCUUCCAAACUUGUUGAUUAUGUCUUGAAUAUACUUUGUUUGGCUGAUGAAGGUGCCUUUUUGGAGUUGCUUGACUUGAAAUCCUAGGAAAUACUUCAACUCCCCCAUCAUAGACAUCUCGAAUUUUUGAAUCAUGAUCCUACUAAACUCUUCACAAGUUGAUUUGUUAGUAGACCCAAAUAUGAUAUCAUCAACAUAAAUUUGGCAUACAAACAAAUCUUUUGCAAUGGUUUUAGUAAAGAGAGUAGGAUCGGCUUUUCUGACUUUGAAGCCAUUAGUGAUAAGGAAAUCUUUUAGUCAUUCAUACCAUGCUCUUGGGGCUUGCUUGAGCCCAUAAAGCGCCUUUGAGAGUUUAUACACAUGGUUAGGGUACUCACUAUUUUCAAAGCCGGGAGGUUGCUCAACAUAGACCUCUUCCUUGAUUGGUCCAUCGAGGAAGGCACUUUUCACGUCCAUUUGAUAGAGCUUAAAGCCAUGGUAAGUAGCAUAGGCAAGUAAUAUGCGAAUUGACUCAAGCCUAGCUACGGGUGCAUAGUUUCACCAAAGUCCAAACCUUCGACUUGUGAAUAUCCCUUGGCCACAAGUCGGACUUUGUUCCUUAUCACCACACCAUGCUCAUCUUGCUUGUUGCGGAAUACCCAUUGGGUGCCUACAACAUUUUGAUUAGGACGUGGAACUAAAUGUCAUACCUCAUUCCUCGUAAAGUUGUUGAGCUCCUCUUGCAUUGCCAACAUCCAAUCUGAAUCUCUUAAUGCAUCCUCCACCAUGUAUGGCUCAAUUGAGAGCACCUAGAGGGGGGGGGGGUGAAUAGGUGAUCCUGUAAAAACUUGAAACUUAUAGCCACAAAACUUGGUUAAGUGUUAGUAGGCUAAAUAGCGAGCUCUUGUGAACACAAGUACCAUAGAAAAGCAAUCACAAAAGACACGCGAGUUAUCCCGUGGUUCGGCCAAGUACAACACUUGCCUACUCCACGUUGUGGCGUCCCAAUGGACGAGGGUUGCACUCAACCCCUUUCAAGUGAUCCAUGGAUCCACUUGAAUACCACGAUGUUUCUUUCUUUUCACUAUAUCCCGUUCGCGAGGAAUCUCCACAACUUGGAGCCUCUCGCCGUUACAAAUGAUGAUCACAAAGAAGCACGAAUGUAAGGGAGGGAAAAGCAACACACACAAGUCUCAAAAGCAACAACUCAAACACGCACACUAGUCACAACUUGAGCUCUAAGUUCAUACACGGAGUUCUCAACUCAAGAGGAGCUCAAAUUGCUAUCACAAAGAAUCAAACGCGCUAGAAUGAAGACUUGGUGCUUAGAGAUGAUCAAAGAAUGCUUGGUAUGCUCCUCCAUGCGCCUAGGGGUCCCUUUUAUAGCCCCAAGGCAGCUAGGAGCCGUUGAGAGCUGUUGGGGGCCUUCGGCUUCCGAAGGUCCUCAAAAACAUGAUUUGACAAUGUUUUCCAAGUGAAAUAUGUGAACAGGUAUCUUUAGAAUCGGGUUAUGAGUAUACAAGAGUACGGUCAGGACGAAGCUUGAGUGAGACGGAAGGCGAUUAUGACGAAGGAUAAGAUGAUCACGAAGCUAUGUACAGAAAAGCUUCGGCAUGACAGCAGAAAAUGGGAACCGACUUAAAGACGAAAAGGCAAAUUAGACCCCGAAGAAUUACUAUAGAGUUAUUGAUAAAUGUAAAGGGCAUUAAUGUAAUUCUACACGGGCUGCGUCCCUUGCCUAUAAAUAGAUGAACAGUACUCCCGUACUGUUCAGGCUGACUUGGCAUUCGCUUUUUGCAUCACGCGUUGUACCUUUACUUUCCGUCAAACCGAAGGUACAUUUAUAAUUUGUCAUUCUGGAUAUAAUAAUGCAAAUAAAAAUAAAUUGGUGAUAAUAUCUAUAUCAUUCCUCAUAUUUCGAGUACAAAUUCUUCCUAUCAUCUAUUGUGCUUACGAAGGUUUUUUCCUUCAUAAUCUUCGUCCGGAAUUCAUUAUAUCCGAAGGGAUAUAAUGUCUUGAAGGACGAAGGACUUUAAUAUUUAACACAUUUUAUGUUGCCUUGUUCUUAACUCUUAGCAUUUGAGAACAAGUCCCCAACAUUGGCGCCCACCUCCGGUGAACUCACGUCCAUUUUUUGAGUUUUGAACACCUUCGGCAAGCAUCACCUUCGUCAUGCCGCCGAAGAAAGCUUCAGCCACAGGGGCUGCCACUCUGCAGCCGCUGGAUCCCAAUCAGGAUGUCCUUUCUCUUAGGGAAGCCCGAAGCCAGAAGAGGAAGGCCACCAGUCCAACGCCUCCGGAGGACGACUUGGAUCAAGAAAUCCAAAACUUGGAGAUGCUCCAUCAACAGGUCCAACGGAAGAAGGAAAAGAUGGCUCGUCUAGCUAACCUACAAAGGCAGAUAGAUGAAGCCUCUGAAGAAGUUCGUCAUCUUGCUCAAGAUGACCAGAACCGAAGGCCUCCGCGCAGAGAGCUUCAUCGGGAGGGCUUUUACAACGAGGACGACUGGUAUGAAGAUUUCCAUCAUGGAAAUUUUGCUUUUGAUGAUACUUCUCCUCUGUCAACAGAACUGCAGGCUACACCUUGGCCCCAGUCUUACAAGCCACCCCAGCUCCCCAUGUACGACGGUCAUUCAGACCCGAAGCAAUUCUUGAUGAGCUAUGAAGCAACCAUAUCUUCGUAUGGUGGCAAUACUGCAGUCAUGGCAAAGUCUUUCGUCAUGGCUGUCAAGAGUGUUGCACAAACCUGGUACUCCUCUCUUCGGCCAGGAACAAUCACCUCAUGGCAAAAGCUGAAGGACAUGUUGAUAACCAGCUUCCAAGGGUUUCAAACAAAGUCGGUCACUGCUCAAGCUUUAUUCCAGUGCACCCAGGACCACGAAGAAUACCUUCAGGCGUAUGUCCGAAGGUUCCUGCGUCUGAGGGCACAGACACCAACAGUGCCCAAUGAAAUUGUCAUUGAGGCCAUGAUUAAGGGGCUUCGGCCGGGACCUUCAGCUCAGUACUUUGCCAGGAAACCUCCUCAAACUUUGGAGAAGCUGCUCCAGAAGAUGGACGAGUAUAUUCGAGCUGAUAAUGACUUCCGCCAAAGAAGGGAGGAAGCAUACAGGUUCUCUGAAAUGACCAGGGGCUUCGGAGGAAGAUUCCAUCCGAGGCACGUCAGGUCAAUUCACAACUCUACUCAGAGUGAUGAUAGAGGGAGUCAACAGCAAAGGCCACAAUACUCCUCGCAAGCUUCGGGGCAGCAGCAAAGCUCUUUUCGGCCACCAGCUCCAAGGGGCAGAGGCGCCAGGGGCUUCGGAGGAAGAUUUGGAGAUCGACCAAGGAAAAUUUACUGUCUAUUCUGUGGUGAGGACAAGGGCCAUACCACCAGGAUGUGCCAUGUUACCAUCCAGAAGCAAAAGGAGAUAGCAGAAGCUGCAGCACAACAGAGUCAGCCGAAGCAAGUCAUGCAUACUGCUUCGUACCAUUCGCCUUACAUUCCAGAAUAUGUAGGCAACCACUCUGCAUCUUCUGUUGCUUCGGCAAGCCAACCCCAAGCAUCUUGGCAACAUCCUCCACCUCCACCACCAACGCAACGAGGCCAACAGCCAGAAGGAAGUCAGCACACUCACCUUCAGUGGGACUUCAGAGAAGAGUCCGAAGCUCGCACAGUCAAUAGCACUGUGCCAGAGUCGAAGCAUAUUUACUAACAAAUAUCCUACCUCAACAGCAGCUUUUCGCAUUCAGUAUUACUUUCUUUUUAAUAAGGAACACUUAUGAGAGGCUUAAGUGCUUUUUGUAGUUUUUAAUCUCUUAUAACAAUUUUGCUUUUUACCACAAUGAAAAUAUAUCUUCUCCAUAGGCUCAAGUUGCUGAAGCAUAAGAAUUUAUGGUGGCAAGGAGGACCUUCGAAUUAUCAAACAUUUAUUCUAAAGGAACGCAGUGUAAAUUCUUCAAAGUAGCAAAAAGUCGUUCCUAAGGGAGCGCAGUGUAAGUUUUCUGCUCAAAAGUCGUUCUGAAGGGAAUGCAGAGCUUACAGCGAAAAAUAAACGCUGAUUCUGCUGAAAGUAAAAGGCGAAGAAGCUCCUAAGGGAGGCUUACAGCGAAAAAUAAACGCUGAUUCCGCUAAAAGUAAAAGGCGAAGAAGCUCCUAAGGGAGGCUUACAGCGAAAAAUAAGCGCUGAUUCCGCUGAAAGUAAAAGGCGAAGAAGCUCCUAAGGGAGGCUUACAGCGAAAAAUAAGCGUUGAUUCCGCUGAAGUAAAAGGCGAAGAAGCUCCUAAGGGAGGCUUGGAGUGAAAAAAUGUCAACCUUCAGCAAAUAUCACUUUGCAUAACAUCACAUCAUUACAUCAUUUGCAUAGCAUAACAUCAUACAUCAUAUUGCAUCAACAACGCAAGAAGGGGGUCUCGGUAUUGAUAUUCGAAGAUUGUUUUGAAGAAAUAGUGACAAGGCACAAAAAAUAGCUAUGGAAGAGUUAUACCUUCGUCAAACUCUGAAAUGGAAAGAUCUAUUGAUUAUUGAUUUUACGAGGAUUGUUUACUGAUUUUAUGAGAACACGGAUAUUAUUUACGAAGCAUGAAAAGAAGGGAAGGUGUUUUUUCGCCGAAGGCUCAAAAAACGGUAUGUAUAUGAUGUUUCAUGCAUCGUAAAGAAUAGAACUAUAAACAGCUAAUAUAUUACAUUCAAAGUUACAAAAUAUUACACAUGUUUCUCAACAAACUUUACAUUCUAAAUGUUUUUGCAGCAGCAUCUAAUCUUCCCUUAGAACUACUUCUGCAGCUUCAUUUAGCAGUUGAUCAACAACCUUAUCCAUGAUGGCUUCGGCCAUUUUUCUAAUUUCGUCAUCCCCCUUCGCGUGGGGGCCCGCAGAUGGCUCAGCAGGUUCUGAGGGAGGAGAAGAUACGGCUAUAUUACUAUUACAAACAGUAAACAAGUUCAAAAUCAAAAAUUACAACAGAGCCAAAAACCACUAGUUAGUACCUAUUUGCCGUUCGAGCUCUGCACCUUUUUCAGCGGCCUCUGCUACUUUUCUAGCGUCAUGGAUGCCUUUUUCGCUUUUUCGUAUAAUUUGUUGGGUCAUUUCUCGGCCACCGUUGUCCCAGAUGUCGGUGAAAAAUUUUCCACCGACCAGGCUCGCUUCGGCCGAGGGGUCUUUUAUAUCUUCGGAGGAUAAGACGGCUUUGGAUUGUGCCAAAAAUUUCACAUGCUCACAGCCUUUCCUCUCCAAAAUGGUAGCAAUCCCCCUGGCACCCGAAAAGGCACAUAUGUCUCCGCGGCUAUUCAAAAUUUCAUCAAAAACCUCAGCUUCGUGGCUGAUCCAUUUGAUUGGGCCUUCGGGGUCACCCCUUAUGAAGUUCUCUUCACUUGAAAAAGCGCCAACGCGGCGAAGCUGGUUUUUACUUUCUUAGCACAUUCUAUUGACUUUUCAUAGCAUCUUUUCCUAGAUGCACGAAGCUCUUCAACGCUUUUUUCCAAAUGGUUUGCCCAUUGUUCACUGAUUUCCCGUUUUGUUUCUUCAAGUGUGCGUUCCUCUUUAGCUCUGGCUAGUUGUUUUCGGAGAUCUUCAAUUUCAUGCCUCAGAGCCUCAGCUUGAACUUUAAAAGUAGCUUCGUCUUCUUUUAUUCUAUUUAUCAAUGAAUGCAAUAUUUUAUCUUUUUCGAGACCUUCGUUCCUUAGUUCAAUUACUUCAGAACGAAGGUUGCUCAGGGCCAUAACACAUCCUUCGUCCUCGGCAUCUUUUUGGGCCCUGAGGGCAUUACUAAGUAUAAGGCCCUGCAAAGAAAAAUGUGUGUGCGUCAAUAAACUUAAGCAAACGAAAAAUUUUGGUUUCAAGAAAAAAUACAAAAACCUCAUUUUUGCACCUUUAAGCUAUUAUACGCCAAGCUGUCGGCUAGAUCGUUUUUCGACAGCACAGAGAGCCCGUCUUCUAGUAUUGGGAAUCCGAAGCUCUUGCUCAUCUCCCGACAGACAGAAAUCUCCUUGCUGUCAGGGAGACAAUACAAAAAGUCUUCUUCUCCACUGCCGUUGAAAAUCAACGCCCCCUUUGGAUAUUUCAAUUUUUGGGCGUAAAACUGGGCCACUUUGUGACACCCCAGUGUCACCUAGGGUUUCUCCUAGAAAUCCAAACCAAGAACCAUUAUUCCAUGUAAAUCAAAGUAAGCAUGAGCAUCAAAUUAACUUGAGUAAUAAAGAAUUCACCAAGUAUAUGCUUAAAAGUGUCAUAAUCAAAGCAAUUGAGACUUUUGAAAGAUAAGAAUGUGCAACCCUAAUUAAGAACCCUAAGUGAGCCCCAUGAACAAAAUUCAAGAAAAUGAGGAAAAGGGAAUGAAAAAUUUAAAAUUUUGAGUUGAGCCAAUUAUAAAAGUUAAAGUAUAUUUAUUAAGCAACAAGAAAGAUUGAGAAAGCUUAGCCAAAAUAAUUCAAAUAAAACCCCAAAUCAAGCUUCUCAUGUAGGGACUCAUUGGGAAUUCUGAAUUUCAGAAUUCUGAAAUUCAGACCUUGAGCCAAAGAUCAGGGAUGUUCACCUUGAUCCCUAACUCGAAUCCUAAUGGCCCCAUUGACAAAAUUUUGUCUAACUAACCCCUCUGUCGUGUGCCAGAAGAUGGCAUUGGGACGCGAGCCCUAGACACGACAAAACCUGGGAUUUGCCUCGGGUUUGGGCAGGGAGACAAACCAGAUUUCCUGGCUCCAUAUCUCUGCAACCAGUAGGCAAAAUCCUAUGACCCCCACACAAGAAAGGUAGCUUGUAGGGAGGAGAAGAGGUUUUGUGCACUGACCAAGGCGAGAGCAGGCUCGGACGAGCGACCAUACGCGCCAGAACUUGGGCAGAACGCACGAGCACACGUGUUCGACCCUGGUCGGCACGCCAGAGCUCGCCCAACCCGCGCGCGCGCUCACCCCGGCGUCCAGUCAAGUCCGCCGCGCGCCCACGCCCUCGGCCGUGCUCGCCCGCGCCUAUAAAGCCUCCCCGGGCGCACCUCUCUUCGCCCCGCACUCACCCUCACCGGCCAUCCACCUUUCCUUAGCUUCGGUGAGCUUAAUUCCGCCCGCCAUUGCCGCCAGAGCUUCGGCCGCCGUGGCCAGCCCACUCCAGCCACCCUCAAGCCCAGCCAGUGCUUCGGCUAGCUCCGCCAGUAGCCCGUGAAGCUUGCCAAGCCCUCGAACCCAACCGGACUUCCCCGGAGGCCCGAGAUCGACCUCACCGGACUUCGGUCUUCCGCCGCCGCGCGUGGACCAAGCCAUCUAGUGAGUCUCCGCCCGAUUCCUUUCGCUCAUAUCUUCUCUGGCAUUUCGUGGACCUCCCUGACCUGUUUGAUUGAACUAUCUCGCCGUGACCAGACCGGUCUCCUCGCCGCCGACGAGCAUCCCCGCCUGCGCGCGUGGACCGACCGACUCCGGCCAUCUCCGACGGCGUUCCGCACACCGUUGUGAUCCCCGCGACCUCCCCUUCAUCCUCGACCACUUCACCGGAGUAGUCUCGCCGCCGGUAAGCCCCUCCGCCCUUUUCUUCGCCGCGGCUACUGUUUAAGGUAGAAGAAGGACCUCGGGUUAGGUUCUGUAGAACCUGAGGGGUUUUCUGUAAUGUCAGCGACUCUUGUGAAUAGUAACCUAAGGACCGAUUCGCGAGGAAAACUUAGAAAACCGCCAGGGACCCCAGUGCAAAGUGGAUUUCCAUUUAAUCAAUUCUGUUAUUCUUUUUAAAAUGACCAGAGAACUUAGAAAAUCCAUAACUUGAUGAAAUCUUAAUAAAAAGUUGUCAAACCAAUUUUGCUAGCUCUGGAAUAUUAUGAUCUAUCAUUUAAAAAUAGUAAACCCUAUGCUUUCUGUUCUAAAUUUUUAAGUUUAAAUUUAAAAACAGAAACCCCCUAAACCUUGUUUAAUUAAGGAAAAUUAGUUUUUCUUUUGUGCUGAGCUUAAGAAAAUUUGUAGAUGUUUAUACCUUAUUUAGACACUGUUUAAAAAUAGUAGGAACCCCAGCAUUGGAAAAUAUGGUGUAGUUUUUUAUUUAAAGCUAUUUUGUCCAAAACUUAGAGAAAAUCAAAAAGGCCUUAGAAAUUAAUGAACAGUGAUUAAUAAUAUUUUUCCUAGUUUACUUAUGCAACAGAGAACCUAGGAAAAAUGCAGAGACCAUUAAUUUGGACCAGUUUUUUUAAUUAAGAUGCUUUAACUAGCCUUAUAUAGACUGAAAAUCAAUUAUUAGAGUUGCAAGACUAUAACCAAAGUGAUUAAUAAAAAUCCAGUGAACUUAUAACCACUAGAGCCCCACUACAAAAAUACAGAGCACCCCAACCCAACUCUUUAAGUAAGGAAAUUAAAUGCAAAGUGAUAAUAAGGCAUUUUCCAACUAAAUCAUGAACAACCCCAAAUAAUGUGAUAAUGGGCAACCAAAAAUCAGCUAAGUCCAUGAUGAGACAAGCCACCAGAGAAAAAUGCAAACCCAUGAAAAGGAAGUACACCCAUACCUUUUGUUAGUAAAUUAUGAGAAAGGCCACUUAAUUCAAAUAAUGCAAACCACCCCUUCCCUUAAGCAAAAAGAAGCCAAACUUCAGAAUGAUUGCUCUUGCACAAAAUACUAACUAAGAAAAAUAAGAACUUUGUUGUUUGAUGUUUUUCAAAUAUAGAGGUAGUAGAAAGCACCUAUUUGGCUAGAAACCUUAAGAAAACCAUAGGAAAAGAAUUAAAAGAUAUUAAUGGCUAGAAAUUUGUGUUAAGUCAUGUUAUAACACCUAAAAGCCAGCAAAAAUAAGUUUUAGAGAAUUACCCACUGUUAAAUAAUAGUUGUAGUUCAAAGUACCCCUUCUGCCCUAGAAUUUGGUAAUUUUGUCCAGAGAAAACUAUUCACCUUCUGAUUCCCAAAUUUUGAGACAGAGCAACACACACCAGUAACAAGCCACUGUAAUUUUUGCAGAAUUUGUGGAAUUUUAUAAAAGCAACUUGUAGUUCAAACCCACUUUAAAACAUUAAAGAGAAUAAAAGAAAAGGAAAGAAGGAAUAAACCUCACCUCAAUAAGUCUAACUUGAGAACUUAUCAUUUAUUACUAAGACUUAAAAAGAAUUCAGUGGAACCCCAAAAAUAAACCUACCCCUUUCCUUAGCUAAGUUUAACCCAAUUUACCAAGUAUACCACCCAAGGGUUUUACGUAAGAAAAGUUAACUUGUUUAAACUCAAAAGACCAUACACCUUUAAAGUUGUAAUUUCUAAAAGCACAUAUCAUAUCAUGCAUAUAUCUUACGCAUUGCAUUCAUUAGAUUGCAAUCUUGCCGACGGAGAGUACGUGCUCAUCCCCGAGCAAGGACCUGUCCAAGAGGAGGACCAGGAGCAGGCUUCAGAGGCUGCUAUUGAGGAUCUCCCCGCAGCCCCAGCAAUUGAAGGCAAGCCCCGGUUUUAUGCAUAACCAUGUUAUUAUAUGCUACUUUACUACACUUAUUGCUUGUAGGAUUGCAAUGUGCACUUAAGUGUAGGAGUUGCUUGAAACCUCUAGUUGCAUGAACUUAGGAUUCCUUUUUGAGAUGAAUACUAGUAUGCUAGGUCGAAUAGCUUCUUGCUAAUCAGGAUCUCGGUAGAAGUCGAGUGAUUUUUCUAGCACUCGCGCGAGGUCAGGAAUUGAUUGUAUUCAUCUUGAUAACGGGAUUUAUGUUGGUCUAUGGACUUGGAUCUAGGGAGGAUGCCUUGUCCAUGAGACGGGAAAAAUGAAUUAAGGAUUAAUGUGUGGAUACCUGAGUCAAGCUUUUGAACGUACUAAGCACAUGCCGGGAAAAAUGGUAACCGGUAAACCUAGUACCUGAGUGAAGCCGGGCGCGGACUUUAUCCCUCAUGCGACCUGAGACAGGGUCUCCCAUGCUAGCUAUGGUGGGUACAAGUGCGGUCACUGCACGGCGGCAGCCGGGGUCAGUGGAGCAUUGUAUGCCAAGGCGAUGAGGCCUGGACGCGAACGGGGAAUCGAUGGGGACGGUUGUCAUGUGUGGGGUCGGAGUACCCUGACAUGCCGUGUGUUUAGGUUUACCUUGCAAGGUUUAAAACUCGAUUCGAAUCGUCUGCUUCUCGCAGCUAAUGAGACUGCUUGAUUCCUUGUACUGCAUCGAGUAAGAAGUGAAAUGUGGUUAUAUGAGAUAACUUGUUGGUUGAACUAAUUGAUUGUUACCAUGUAUGCUUAGAAGGAGCAAAUCUAGCUAAGUUAAUGAUGGUAGAAUUUGAAAAGCUAAAAAUUGAUUUUAGAAACAGCUAGUGCUUUUGGCAAACCAAACCCCUCAGCCAAACAGCUGCAUAGUCUAGAGGUAGAGGAGUAGACUCCUCACACCGGUUAAGUCUAGCUGAGUAUUAGUAUACUCAGCCUUGCUUGUGGCACCAUUUUUGCAGGUACCAUUCAGGAAAUGGUUGAUGGUGUGACUUGGCCUACCACCCUGCCACCGGGUUGGACGGUCGAGUGGGAUGUUGCUCCGGCAGGAGAGGAGCAUGAGGAGUAGUGGGCUAGGCCUUGCCCAUUUCCUCAUUACCGACGACAUCGAUUAUCCGCUGCACUUUAUUUUGUGAACUUUAUUUGCUACUCAAAAACUCCGAUUUAUGUAAUAACUCAGUACUUAAUUUGAGGUUUCCUGUUUUAUUGUAUUUCUUCUGUGACUCACCUUCGAGUGAGAUUGUGGAAUUUGAUCCUGGUUAAGUGGCUCUAUCAGACUAGAUCUGAAGGACUGACGGGUUAUUCCGAUUUAAGUGUGUUACGGCCCCUGAGGCGUGACUUAGGCACUUAAGCUGGAAUAAUUCGGGUGGUUCUGCCACAGCUGGUAUCGGAGCAAAUUCCACCACAGAGAAGGACAAUAAACCAUGAAUACCAAUUUUUAAAAUCUAAAACUUGCCUAGAAACUACUACGGAUCGUCAGGACUAGAUCGCUAGACCUAGGACGAAAGACCUUAAGCAUAGAGGGAGAAAUAGGUGGCUAAUUAAUUAGGCCCUGUGGGCCAAUACUUAUAUUUUUAAGGAUGCCCUAAAAAGGCACCCUAUUUUCUUUUGAGAGGCAACGUUCCUUACAUCAUGCAUGCAUUAUAAAACACCAAGAGGAAUUAAAAUUUGAGCUAACCCCCUUUUCUUUAAAAUCAUCCGGGCUCUCUUUUUCUUUUUUCCUUCCACCAUAAUCUUUAUCUUUGAUUCCCUUCCGCAGAUGAAUUCACCCACCCCCGCCAGUGGAGGAGACUCUCGUUUCAGUUCUGACUUCCUUUCUCGCGAUGGCUUUCCUUCCAUCUUGUGGGAAGUGCUUAACUCCGCCGGUUACCCUACGCCCCCUUUGUACACGGUGCAGUUGUAUGAGGAGCAUCGGAUACCUCGUUGUCGGGUCUGGCUAACUUUGGAGGCUCAUCCCCUUCAGCCGGGUUGGCGUUCUCUUGACUCUGAGACGAUUGGACUCAGGACGGACGACACCGUUGAGGCAGCAGCCAUGAAGACUCUGACGACUUUCUGUGGCUACCAUCCCCUGGAGAUGGUGAUGCACCCCUUGGGACUCUUCCCUGCUGAGAAGAAGGAUGAUCCCAUGUGGUGUAACCGCGUGAGCCAUGUGAAGGAUGUGUGGGCAAUGUAUCCUGACUUGGUUGGGAGGGUCACUGUUCAGUGCAUGAGUGCGUUGUACCGCCUCCAGGCCCUUCAGAGCGAUGCUAUGACACUUCUUGCUAACACCGCUCAGACUGCCAAGCUCACCUUCGACAGUCGGGAAGAUUUUGUGGUCGACUUAUCCACAGAGUUGGUGGAGAAGGAUCUGCAGGUGGAAAGGCUGAGCCAGCGUAUCACCACCCUGGAGCAGCAAGUGGAGAUCCGAGACAACACUAUUGAUGUCUUGGAGAACCAGCUUCACGAUGUGCAGAGGGAACUCGAGGAAGCAAAUGACCACUUGGACAUGCACCACCUGGAGAUGGAGGCCAAUGAAGCCGGAAGCGAGGGAGAAGAGGCUCCCGAGGAGCUAGGACCAGCCCCUGGUGCCCAUGGGACUACCUCCGCGAUGCCUCCUUCACCCGUAUCCAGUGUCGCUUCCACCGCUCAGGGUUAAGCAGUCACUUCGACGUUUUUAGGUGGAUAGAAACCUAUGCGAGCUUAGUAAUAUCACAUUUUGGACUAGGCUUGUGGGUACUUUCCCCUGAUUAAUGUAACCCUGUAAACUUUUGAUAUCUGUGGGAUCCUUGGCACCAUGUUAUCUUCAUUUCGAACCUAAUAUUAUGAUUAUGGCAUUUUCCUUCCAUAUGAGAUGAUAUCUUGUUGUUCGGAAAUGUGAGUUGGGAUAACAAUGGCGGCAAUCUCUGUUUUCAGAUGGCAGCUAGGCAGCGUCGCGGGCAGAAUGAGCAAGCUCCCCCGCCACCUCCCCCAGCUCCCACAAUGCAGGAGCUGAUGGCCCAGCAGAAUGAAAUUCUGCGACAGCUCUUGCAGCGCCAGCCCCACCCACAGCAUCAUGGUGGAGGCCAGCAUCAGCGACCUCCGGCUAUGGCAACAUACCAGGAGUUUCUGAGCACGCAGCCGCCCUUGUUCACCAAGGCAGAGGAUCCGUUGGACGCCGACGUGUGGCUUCGCGUCGUCGAGUCCAAGUUUCCCCUCCUCACAGGAGACUGCCCUGACGAGGCCAAGGCUCGCUUCGCCGCACAGCAGCUUCGCGGCCCUGCUCGGACUUGGUGGGACCACUUCCGUGCUAUGCUCCCCGCUGAUCGUGAGGUAUCUUGGGAGGAAUUCAAGACUGCCUUCAGAGGACACCACAUUCCAGCUGGCAUUCUUGAUCGGAAGUUGAAUGAAUUUCUGGCCCUUAAUCAAGGAACCCGCACGGUACUGCAGUAUGCGCAAGCCUUCAACGACUUAUGCCAGUAUGCAGGGUAUCAUGCUGAUUCUGAUGAGAAGAAGAGGGAUCGCUUCCGCAGGGGUCUCAAUACCAAGCUGCGGGAACGACUCAACACUGUCCGGGCUGAUAGCUUCAAUGAGUUGGUCAAUAUGGCCAUCUCCCAGGAAGAUUGCAUUGUUGCUCACCGGGCAGAGAAGAAGAGAAAGGCACCAAUGGCAGCACCAUCCGCUCAGGCUCAGAGGUUCCGGAUUGUUUCUCACAAUCAGAGCAGGGGUUUUCAGCAGCAGGCAGGCAGAUGGGUGAUCAGGCCACCUCAGCAGCAGCAGCAGCCGGCACCCAACCGCUAUCCAGCUCCCGCCCCAAGGAACAAUCAGCCUCCGCAGCAGCAGCAGUUCCGCCAGGGCAAUGGGAACAAGUGUUUCACUUGUGGCAAUGUGGGCCACUAUGCCAAGAAUUGUCCCAGGAACCAGCAGAGGCAGAUGCCAGCACCAAAUCAAGACAAGGGAAGAAAUCAGAAGGUGCAAGUCAGGCAAGGGAAGCUCAACUUCACUGCUCUAGAGGAAGUGCCAGAAGGAGCUCCUAUCAUGACCGGUACCUUUUCAGUUUAUAAUCAACCUGCUUUAAUUCUGUUUGAUUCUGGUGCAUCUCAUAGUUUCAUUAGCCAAAAGUUCAGUGCUAAUUGCAAACUGCCAUUCUCUCACUCAAAAGGGUCAUUCAUGAUAGUCACACCUGGGGGUAAAAUUGCAACUAAUCAAUUAAACCAAAGUGUGCCUAUUCAACUGGGAAGCCACAUUAUCAAAACCACUCUUCUUGUAUUGGGAUUGGAAAAUGUGGACAUUAUUCUAGGAGCAAAUUGGAUGACCUUGCACCAAGUUGUGCUUGAUGUAGCCAGUCGUACCGUGGAAGUUAAUUCUCCUUUCUGCGGGAAUUUCACUUUGAUUCUGCCUAGUCAGGGUUCUUCUCAGUCAUGUGCUUUCUCUAUGGCGGAGUUACCCUGAAAGAAGAUCCCAGUGGUCUGUGAGUAUGCAGAUGUCUUUCCUGAUGAAUUGUCGGGAAUGCCACCGGACCGGGAUAUUGAAUUCGCCAUCGAGUUGCAACCGGGAACGACCCCAAUUUCCAAGAGGCCCUACCGAAUGCCACCCGCUGAGUUGGUAGAGUUGAAGAAGCAGUUGCAAGAGUUGCUGGAUAAGGGUUUCAUUCGCCCGAGCACUUCGCCUUGGGGAUGUCCAGCGCUGUUUGUGAAGAAGAAGGAUGAAAGCUUGAGGCUGUGUAUAGAUUACCGCCCUCUUAAUGCGGUGACUAUCAAGAACAAGUAUCCUUUGCCUCGUAUUGAUGUUCUCUUUGACCAAUUGGUCGGGGCCAAGGUGUUUUCCAAGAUAGACCUUCGCUCUGGCUACCAUCAGAUCAAAAUACGAGCAAGUGAUAUUCCGAAGACGGCAUUCUCAACCAGAUAUGGGCUAUAUGAAUUCUUGGUGAUGUCAUUCGGGCUGACAAAUGCACCAGCAUAUUUCAUGUAUCUGAUGAAUUCUGUUUUCAUGCCGGAAUUGGACAAGUUCGUGGUGGUUUUCAUCGAUGAUAUUCUGGUGUACUCAAAGAACGAAGAAGAACAUGCCGGGCAUUUGCAUGUAGUGCUUCAACGUCUGCGAGAGCACCACCUUUAUGCCAAGUUAUCCAAGUGUGAUUUUUGGCUAAAGGAAAUCAAAUUUUUGGGUCACACUAUCUCUCAGGCUGGAAUAGCUGUUGAUCCUGAUAAAGUGCAAGAGGUGAUGAAUUGGAGGCCACCAACAACUGUUCGCCAGAUUCGGAGUUUUCUGGGAUUGGCUGGUUAUUACCGAAGAUUUAUUCCGGACUUCUCUCGAAUUGUGAAGCCUAUUACUGAGUUGCUGAAGAAAGAAGUCAAAUUUGUGUGGAGUCAGAAGUGCGAAGAUGCCUUCCAUGCAUUAAGGCAGCAUCUGACCACAGCACCAGUAUUGGCGCAACCCGACAGCAGCAAGCCUUUUGAUGUAUAUUGUGAUGCCUCUGGCACCGGGCUAGGUUGUGUCUUGAUGCAAGACAACCGAGUCAUUGCUUAUGCCUCAAGAGCACUCAGGCCUCAUGAGCAAAAUUAUCCCACUCAUGACCUUGAGUUAGCAGCAGUGGUUCAUGCAUUGAAGAUGUGGAGGCACUAUCUAAUGGGAACCCACUGCAACAUCUUCACUGAUCAUAAGAGCCUUAAGUACAUUUUUACUCAGGCUGAUCUCAACAUGAGGCAGAGAAGAUGGCUAGAGCUGAUCAAGGAUUAUGACCUGGAGGUACAUUAUCACCCAGGGAAAGCUAAUGUGGUAGCAGAUGCCUUGAGUCGGAAGUUGCAAUGCAAUUGCAUUCUGAUGGAUUCCCGUGUUAACACCUUGUGUGAUGAGUUGAGCAAGAUGCAAAUUGAAGUGAUUCCUUCUGAUUCUUUGUCUCAAAUAGCUGUUGAGCCAGCUUUGCAAGACCAGAUUAUCAUGGCCCAGCUCAGUGACAAGGGAGUGCAGAUUAUCAAGAAGAAUCUCCAUCAGAAGGUUGAGAAGUAUAAUUGUUUCCGCCAGGAUGAGAAAGGUGUGUUAUGGUUCAAAGGCAGAUUGGUAAUUCCUAAAGACCAGGAGCUCAAGGGGAAAAUUUUGGAUGAGGCUCAUCUCUCCAAAUUCUCUAUGCACCCGGGAAGCACCAAGAUGUACCAUGAUCUGAAGCCUUUGUACUGGUGGACCAGAAUGAAGAGGGAAAUAGCCCAGUAUGUAUCAGAGUGUGUCGGCGUUUCGAGACAGGGGGGUCCCAAAGCCGACGAGUGAGUGUGCUGCGUGCCCCAGCCCAGAUGGGUCAAGCGCGUGGGCGAGCGCGAAGGGGGGAGAGGCGAGGUGGCCGGAGUCGAGCGUGAGAGAGGUGGAAGUCCCGCGGCCUUCGUGUUCGUCCCGCGCCCAGGUCGGGUGCGCUUGUAGUAGGGGGGUUACAAGCGUCCACGCGGGUGAGGGAAGCGAGCGGCCCCAAGAGAGCGCCUGUCCCGUCCUCGGUCCCGCGCGGCCAACCUUCUCUAAGAAGGCCCUGGUCCUCCCUUUUAUAGUCGUAAGGAGAGGAUCCAGGUGUACAAUGGGGGGUGUAGCAGAGUGCUACGUGUCUAGCGGAGAGAGAGCUAGCGCCCUAGGUACAUGCCAAUGUGGCAGCCGGAGAGGUCUUGACACCUUGCUGGCGUGAUGUCGUGGCUGUCGGAGGUGCGACGGAGCCUGGCGGAGGGACAGCUGUUGGAGCGGUCGAGUCCUUGCUGACGUCGCCCUGCUUUUGUAAGAGAGCUGGGGGCCGCCGUCGUCACAGAGCUUGUGGAGCGCCAUCAUUGCCCAUCCGGCGGAGCUGGCCGGAUGGGACGCCGGUCUUGUUCUCCGUGACCCAAGUCGAUUCGGGGUAGGACGAUGAUGGCGCUUCCUGUUGACGUGGCGGGUCUGUGCCCUAGGCAGGGUGACGUGGGGGCUCCUCCGAAGCCGAGGUUGAGUCUAUCUUCUGUUGCCGAGGCCGAGUCCGAGCCAUGGGGUCGGGCGAGGCGGAGGUCGUUCGGCCGAGGCCAGGGCGGAGUCCGAGCCCUGGGGUCGGGCGAGGCGGAGUUUCGUCGUCUUCCGGGUUUUAGCCCGAGUCCGAGCCCUGGGGUCGGGCGGAGCGGAGUUCGCCGUCUUCCGGGUCUUAGCCCGAGUCCGAGCCCUGGGGUCGGGCAGAGCGGAGUUCGCCGUCUUCCGGGUCUUAGCCCGAGUCCGAGCCCUGGGGUCGGGCGGAGCGGAGUUCGCCGUCUUCCGGGUCUUAGCCCGAGUCCGAGCCCUGGGGUCGGGCGGAGCGGAGUUCGCCGUCUUCCGGGUCUUAGCCCGAGUCCGAGCCCUGGGGUCGGGCGGAGCGGAGUUCGCCGUCUUCCGGGUCUUAGCCCGAGUCCGAGCCCUGGGGUCGGGCGGAGCGGAGUUCGCCGUCUUCCGGGUCUUAGCCCGAGUCCGAGCCCUGGGGUCGGGCGGAGCGGAGUUCGCCGUCUUCCGGGUCUUAGCCCGAGUCCGAGCCCUAGGGACGGGCGGAGCGGAGUUCGCCGUCUUCCGGGUCUUAGCCCGAGUCCGAGCCCUGGGGUCGGGCGGAGCGGAGUUCGCCGUGGCGCCUUUGGCAAGGCCUGACUGUCUGUCAGACUCACUCUGUCAAGUGGCACCGCAGUCGGAGUGGCGCAGGCGGCGCUGUCCUUCUGUCAGACUGGUCAGUGGAGCGGUGGAGUGAUGGCGGUCACGUCGGCUCUGCCGGGGGGGGGGGGGGGGGGGGGCGUGUCAGGAUAAAGGUGUCAGGCCACCUUUGCGUUAAAUGCUCCUGCAACUCGGUCAGUCGGUGUGGCGAUUUAGUCAGGGUUGCUUCUGAGCGAAGCCAAGGCCUCGGGCGAGCCGGUGAUGUGUCCGCCGUAAAAAGGGGGGCCUCGGGCGAGACGGAAGUCUCUCGAGGUCGGCUGCCCUUGGCCAAGGCUAGGCUCGGGUGAAGCGUGAUCGAGUCACUCGUGUGGACUGAUCCCUGACUUAAUCGUACCCAUCAGGCCUUUGCAGCUUUAUGCUGAUGGGGGUUACCAGCUGAGAAUUAGGCGUCUUGAGGGUACCCCUAAUUAUGGUCCCCGACAGUAGCCCCCGAGCCUCGAAGGGAGUGUUAGCACUCGCUUGGAGGCUUUCGUCGCACUUUUUUGCAAGGGGACCAGCCUUUCUCGGUUGCAUUUUGUUCCGGUGGGUGCGCGCGAGCGCACCCGCCGGGUGUAGCCCCCGAGGCCUCGGAGGAGUGGUUACACUCCUUCGAGGUCUUAAUACCUUGCGUAAUGCUUCAGCUGGUCUGGUCGUUCCCUCAUGCGAACUGGCCGUAGCCCGGGUGCACGGUCGGGGCCCAAGCUCUCGGGCUGGUAUGUUGACGCUGUCAACGGUUUGGCCGGAGCCGGUUUUUGCGAGAGCAGCCCCCAAGCCUCUGCACAGGGUGAGAGGACGAUCAGGGACAGACUCGACUUUUUACAUACGCCCCUACAUCGCCUUUCCGCAAGGAGGGGGGAGUGCGCCAUGUUACCCUCGAUGGGCACCGAACAUGGUGUCUCCGGUGAGCUGCAAGCGGGUAAUCCGAGUGGGCGUCCGUGCCCCGUUCGUUGGGGGUCGGCUAGGGGCCCAGAGGCACGCCCAAAAGUACCUGCGGGUGAUUUGCCGGACCCGGUCCCCUGGCGACGGGGUCCGAGGGCUCGAUGCCUCCCUCCGAUGGGAUUCCGUUACAAGAUCGUUCCCGCUGGUCUCGGAAAUGUCCUAGGGUACCUCGGGAGCGCAGCCCGAGCCUCGGUUAUGUAUCGAACGUACCCCUGGUCAUCCCUCGCUCGGUGUCUGAGGCGACUGUGAACCCUUCGGGGGCCAGCCUUCGAACCCCUGAUCAGUAAUGGGCGCGGAGCCUGAGUAGCCUGAGGCGGCCAUGGAACCCUUCGGGGGGCUGGCCUUCGAACUCCUGACCAGUAGUGGGUGUCGGGCCCACGCGAUCUGAGGCGACUGUUGAACCCUUCGGAGGGCCAGUCUUCGAACCCCUGAUCAGUAGGGGGGCUCGGAGCCCGGUUCCUUCGCGGAAAAGGAUCCUUUUCGGGGUAUCCCCCUUUCCCGGUCCCUGUUGCAAGAGAUAGAGAAAGAGGAAAAAGGAAAAGGAUACGAAAUCGAACGACGUGGCGUACCUCUUUUUGACGCGGUUAUUACGGCGAAGGCGAAGCGUCGCGCGCUUCUCCCGCCAGAGGCGCCGCGUGUCCCGCCGCGGAGUUAAUGCGACGGGGCGAGUGGUUGGCGAGGCGGUCGUUGCGCGUGCGCGAUCCGUUCGAGGAACGGGUCACGGGUGCACCGUCUUCACGCCGUGGGAGGAGGCUCUCUUGCUGCCCCAGGAUGAGACGUGAGCCUGGCUGACGACGUGUCUGCUGCGCCCGCCCGCCUGCCACCGCCAUUACUGCCGGCCCACUUUCGGUCGCUUUGACCAACGUGCCAGGCUGGCGCUGCUGGGUCGCGCGCCGGGUCGCCUCGAGUCGCGGCAUAGGCUUCCUUUUUCGAGGAAAAAUUCGACGCAGAGGGGGUCUCCCCCCUUUUAGCCCUCGAGGGAGGGUCGGGCUUUGCCGAGGCUAGGCCGACCCUUCCUUGACGACUAAACUUUGCGUAGGUGCGAGGUAUAUGAACAACUUGGAAACAUCUUAAGGGUAGAAGCGACGUAGCUGUUUGAUGUUCCAAGCGUUGCCGUAGAUCUCGCCUUGAUUGUUGGCCACCUUGUAUGUUCCGGGCUUCAGAAUUUUGGCGAUGACGAAUGGCCCUUCCCAGGGGGGCGUUAGCUUGUGCCUCCCUCGGGCGUCUUGCCGCAGCCGAAGCACCAGAUCGCCCACCUGGAGGUCCCGGGACCGGACCCCUCGGGCAUGGUAGCGUCGCAGGGACUGCUGGUACCGCGCCGAGUGUAGUAAGGCCCUGUCCCGAGCCUCCUCCAGCUGGUCCAGCGAUUCUUCUCGGCUAGCUUGGUUGCUUUGAUCGGUGUAGGCCCUCGUCCUCGGGGAGCCGUAUUCCAGGUCAGUGGGCAAGAUAGCUUUAGCCCCGUAGACCAGGAAAAACGGCGUGAAACUCGUGGCGCGACUCGGCGUCGUCCUUAGGCUCCAGACCACCGAGGGGAGUUCCUUCAUCCACCGCUUGCCGAACUUGUUGAGGUCGUUGUAGAUCCGAGGCUUGAGCCCUUGUAGAAUCAUGCCGUUGGCACGCUCUACUUGCCCAUUCGACAUGGGAUGAGCCACGGCGGCCCAGUCCACCCGGAUAUGGUGAUCCUCGCAAAAAUCCAAGAAUUUUUUGCCGGUGAACUGGGUGCCGUUGUCGGUGAUGAUGGAGUUUGGGACCCCGAAGCGAUGGAUGAUGUUGGUGAAGAAUGCCACUGCCUGCUCGGACCUGAUGCUGUUCAGAGGUCGGACCUCGAUCCACUUGGAGAAUUUGUCGAUGGCGACCAGUAGAUGCGUGUAGCCCCCGGGCGCCUUCUGCAAGGGACCGACGAGGUCCAGACCCCAUACGGCGAAGGGCCAGGUGAUGGGUAUUGUCUGCAGAGCCUGAGCGGGCAGGUGGGUCUGCUU
Molecule: long non-coding RNA, 43129 nt
Filed under: Zea mays
Lineage: Eukaryota; Viridiplantae; Streptophyta; Magnoliopsida; Poales; Poaceae
Description: long non-coding RNA (ZMAY_LNC000323)
Source: RNAcentral